Molecule: long non-coding RNA, 308 nt
Organism: Xiphophorus maculatus (southern platyfish)
Lineage: Eukaryota; Metazoa; Chordata; Actinopteri; Cyprinodontiformes; Poeciliidae
Exons: 3
Source: RefSeq, a predicted model, not a curated record
UGUCAGGGCGUGUUGCUGCAGGUGAUGCUGCUGGAUCCUGGAAGAGACGUGAUCUGCUGGAGAGUCAUUUAAAACCAGCACAAAGUCCACAACGCUCCCAUAUGACCCGGUUCUGGACUCGUCACAAAGUGUUAAAUCACAGAGAUGGAAAGUAAAGACAGGAGAACAAAAGAGGAUCCAAAAAACUGAACCGUGACCCGUCAGAGGGCUGAUGGCAGGAAGCAGACGGCGUGCCGAUGGAGGGCGACGAGAGGCUCCAGGUUUGUUGUGUCUGGAGCCCUGAGCCUGGAGACGCUCCACGAUGACGC